This 3962-nucleotide long non-coding RNA is filed under the name Nicotiana tabacum (common tobacco). Its description in RNAcentral is "long non-coding RNA (NTAB_LNC002940)". Lineage: Eukaryota; Viridiplantae; Streptophyta; Magnoliopsida; Solanales; Solanaceae. The record is from RNAcentral.
UGGCCAUGGCCGAUUGUUUGGUACCAAAAAAGUUAACAUGGAAGACUCUCCAUAUCUUCAAGCACAUCGAUGUGUAAGAUCAAUUGGUAUAAUGGGAAGGAGUAUCUUGGUUGUAGAAUGGAGUCUUGUAAUUGAUUGAUUUAGAAACAUCCAAGUCUUGUAAUUGCAGGGUUGAGCAACAUCCGCCAUCUCCGAUCCACUCCUGGUUGCGCUAAAGUGGCUAACUGUACAACACGUUUAGGAAUAACACACCACAACCAGUUUCUCUAUCCUGGAGAGAGAAAGAAACCACGGUAGAAUAUGUACCCUUAAACAUUGCAAGGAACUUGUUAAUACAGAAUAAUAUAAGAACUUUCUCAGCUAUAUGUGGACUAUGGUUGUCACAUUAUAUGAGAUAGCGGUCAUCGAGGAUAAAGUUACUCACCUACUGAAAACGUAAAUGCAAGUAGUAAUAUAUUCCUCUAUGUAUUCGUACAAAUAAUCUCUUCUAACUAUUUUAACCUUGUCAUAUAUUGUUGAUAACCUCAUAAUAUUAAGGUCAUAACCACACUCUAUCUUAAUAAACGACCACCUUUAUAGUCAUCAAAAAGCAGUUGAGGAAAAGCUGUAUAUCACCCUUAAGAAAAGGUAAUAACAUCAAUCUCACAGUAAGAAUUAUGUUAAAAAAGAUUAUAGAACAUUAUCAUCAUCAAUAUAGUAAUUCAAAUGAAUGCAGGAAAGAUAGUAACACUUAAAACAAAACUAUAAACAAUUGUUAACUUAAAAAUGUUGCUUCAUGUUAUUUCAAAGAGAUAAUCAACUCUUGAAUAGACAUUAGUUAAAGUAGACAACUAAAACAUAACAGGCACCAAUAUUAUGGAUUGGCAAAGGCAGCGAGGAGCUUCAGUAUUAGCAAGCCCUGAAAGUAAAUAGUGAUAUUUUCAAAUUACUCUAAGAAGCUAACUAUCACACAAGGAAAAGAAUGAGCAGAAAAAACAUGAAAGAUUUAAUGAGUCAAUGUCAAAUUGGACAGGUUUUCGCUACAUCUUUGAUGAGUUUGUGACUCCAAGUUCUCUUUCUUGAAUCAGUUACUCUUGCUCUCACUUUUAGCAAAUAUUGAAACUCAAUGACAUCGCUUCCAGGACCCCAACUUUGACUCUUAAGAAGAGGUAUAAAGGAACAUGAAGAGUCUUGAGAAAGGACAAAUGAACAUGACACAAGGACAAACGAACAUGACACCCUUGAUUUUUGCAUCAAAAUCCGCACCCAAUACAUCCACAACUCAAAGGUAUCCACCCCAAGUACCAAGAUAAAAUAGAAUCACAUACAGUGACAUCAAGUCCUUACAGUCAGAUUCGCAUCAAUGGCUAAGAUUGCCACACCAAUUAGGUAUUUAGCUUUUUUUUUUUCUUCACCAGAUACAUUUUUGUAUUGUUCUUUAUAGCCCGUUUGGCCAAAAAAUCAGCUUAUUUUGAUAAGUGCUUUUUCUCAAAAGUGCUUUUUCAAAAGUACUUUUGAUGAGAAUCAGUUUGUGUUUGGCUAAUUAAUUUAAAACGUACUUCUAAGCAGCAAUUAGUGUUUGACCAAGCUUUUAAAAAAUGAUUCUAAGUGUAUUUUUCUCAAAAGUGCUUCUCAAAAAAGUGUUUUUGGGAAGAAGCUACUUUUUUCUGCGUCUCCAAAACUGCUUCUACUUCUCCUCGAAAGCACUUUUUUUUUUCCUAAAAGCUUGGCCAAACACUUCAAAUUUAGAAAAAUAAUACUUUUUUUGAAGAAAAAAAAUGUUUUUGAACUUGGAGAAGCUUGGCCAAACAUGCUAUUAGACUUGUAAGUGUUCACGGAUAGUUCUGCUGCAUCUUCAAGUAAUACAGGUGAAAUUGGAGUUAUGAGUUCCUUGUUGGUUGUAAAGAUAUUGAAACAUAUAUUAUAUCCUGAAAAGUAGGUAGAUUCAUUUCAUCAACAUUUUAUGCGAUGAGAUGCACAUAUAUAUUGAGGAUUUAGAUAUCAUUAAAUACUAAAUGGUUUACUUUAUUUGAGUGAAGCUGCAUUCUCUCUGAUCUUUAAAUAGUGUAGGACAUAUCACCAUAUAGAUCAUGAAAUGCAUAAAAAACUUUGUGAAUGGAUGAAGACUAAUGUAGUGAAAACUUAAAGCCCUCUCCAAUCUAUAUUUUUCACUCAAAAACAUCAUGAUUCAGGAUUCGAAGUAGAGCGUUGUAAAUAUCCUUUAUUUUGAGUAAUCAAGUGCACCAAUACCUUAUCCUUUAAAAAAAAAAAACAGUUUCAACUAGUAGUUAACCUCUUUUUAUAUACCUGAAUAAACUGCUUGACAUAAGUCUCACGCCUUGCACUAUUCCUUUCUCUAAUUAGUUUGGUAUAUCAUAACAACUCUGGGACGGUUUUAAACCACUACACAAUGUCAUAAUCAUAAUUGAAAAAGUUCUAGAAAAAUAAAAUAUCAGAAGUGGAACUAAUGUCAGACCACCUUUUUUAAGCAUUAACAUCACUUGUCUUAACUCCUCAUCAGAAAAGAGAUUUCACUCAAUAGCACAUAUGAAAUACGGAAAAAUUAAAGCAUAUAACAAGUUGCUCUCCUUCUCCUCUAGUACACUUGUUUUCAUGCCUAUCCUUUUAUCCCCAAGAGUUAUGAUCUCCAUGCUGCAAGACACUAAAACUUAAGACACCAUCCUAAGAACGUAGCUCCAAUUUUCUAAACGAUUAUUUGAUUUCUAUAUGUAAAAAAAACCAGAAGAACUAAAACAAAUAUGGUUAUAACCAUUGAAAAAUAUGUACUCAAGUUUAUUUUGUAUGAAAACUAAUUAAUGUAAGAGAAUAUUAUCGUUUUGCUUAAAUUCUAUCAGAGAAUGUCAACUAUAGAUGCAAAAGUACCUGGCAUCCAAUUUCUUUACGCUAUUCUAUAUGAAAACUCAUGAAUUUAAGAGGUGAUUGUUCAUUAAAUUCUAUCAGAGAACAUCAACUGUUGAUGCCAAAAGAAUUCAGCAUAUUGCAUACGACAUCUUAGUUCCUCAUUGACCUUUGUUUUAUUACUUUUUUCGCAAGAUAAUACAAAUAUUUUUCACAGAAACUAUAUUGAACAUGAAAAUGUGCAUAUAACAUGUUUAGGGACGGAAAUGUAAUGUAAGUAAUUUUCCGCGAGAAAGCAGUAAAGACCAAAAAUCACAAUAGCUAGCAAUUUUUUUUUUAUCGAAACACAAGACAUGAUUUCUUUUACAGUUGUGAUUAUAAUAGUGUAAUAUCAGUAGAGAUGAAUUUAAACAGUGAAAUUUUUUCUUCUCGAAGUUCAUCAACUACAUAUCUUCUAUGAUGUCCAAUUUCAAAUGCAGUGACCUAAAAAGUUUCAUUUACCGGUAAAAUCAUUAAUGUUUUAUCAGGCAUUUCAUCAAACAUCUUAGAGUCAUCUGUAUCAUGUCAAGUAAUUAAGAAAGAAAAAGAUUAGAUAACUGGAAAUUUAAAGCAAUAAUAAAAUAAAAUUAGACAUUAGGACAGAAACUAUCACUAACUAUAACAUUUACACAUACAGAACACCAUGAAAGUAUGCCUACCGAUACUGAAGUGUGCUUACUCGUAUUGUCAAGACUUAAUCUUCUAGCGACAAAUUUGAUGCUUCAAAGCACUGAAGGAGAAAGAGAAUCGUAAUUUCAGAAAUGAAUAAACAUUAAAAGAUAUGCAUGUGCCGGUUAGAUAAAAUUAUUGACAUAUGUAAAUCUAGCAAAAAUCUACCAUCAAAUAAGUGCAAUAAAAGCAAAUGAUUAAUUAGACAAAAAACUUGCCAGAACUUCGAACCGAAACGAUAAAAAAUAAGCCAAAAGGGAGAAUCUUUGAAGAAAUACACAAAAUAGAAAAGCUUUGAGAGAAAUUUAGUGAAGACCACAAAGAUGCAGAAGGAAUUCGAAGAAAAUUGAAAAUAGGUAAGAAGGUUCAAGAGAGAUGAGCAAGCAGCAUAACUGUGUAAAAAAAGUGGGUGAAUC